UUGAAAUGGAGCCUCUGGAUCCUGCCAAGAAUGAGUGAGUGAAAAUGAUGUUAUUGUGUCUUAUAUGCUUUGUGCCUGAACCUCAAAGCAACAAACUACACAUUACCUAAAGGCCAUCUUUAGAUCUGACUUGUGAUGAUGACUGUAAUUACAUUGUAUAUGAUAAUUAUAACUACACACCUGUGCUCAGUACUGUGCUUCAUGUUUUGUGUCACAGUGAAGGCGGUGGAUUCUCUAAGCAGCGCAUUUCUUCGGUCAGUACUACAAAUAUAUUUAUGGACAAAGUAUAUAUACAUUUACGUGAACAAAUCAUUUUCCUGAACCAUAACAUCUGCCAUUUCUCAUUUGUAGAUUUUAAAAGCACCACGGAGAUCAAUCAGAUUCCCUGACCCACAGCAACAGGAAAAUGUGGUGGAGUGUGGCAACCAGGGGAAAAGAGGAAUUCAAGAAGAGUCAGUUUUGCCCCUGCCAACGAUGUUCUCCUGUUUUCAAAGGAUGUAAAAAAUGAUUGUCCUGUCCGGAGUCCUUUACAAGACUUGCCAACAACAACAACAGCAGCCACACAGAAUAGGGUCCAGGUGGCAGUCACUGAUGAUGGGAUUCAACAAAUUAUGGGUAAACUUUUCAACUUCAAACAACUAUUACCACAUGAAAUCAUCACAUUAUCUGUCACAGUGUGAGAUGACGCUUACUAAAGUCAAGUCUUCACAUUUAGGGAUGGAAACCCUGCUGAAUGCUCCUCUACAUGCUUCUCAACAAAGGGAUAAGGUCAACUUCGAUACUGUGGGUGACUUAGGGGAGAAAACGGUGAUGUUCUCUGAUGAUGCAUUCAUGGACAUGACCCACAGUCACACUAUAAACAUUGCCAGUGAUGCAGAACUCCAAAGCUAUGUCGCUUUACCCACGAGAGGAGACAGAACCGUGAUGUUCACUGAGAAUGAUGCAUCCAUGGAUAUGACCCUCAGUGUUCCAGUAUCACUACCCAUGAGUAGAAACAUGGAUUCGAGUGUAGAGAAGAAAAACAUAUCUUCAUCAGUGCCAUCGUUGGAUCCUGGAUUUGAAAACUUCUUUGCAAGUCUUUCUAAACCAAGGGGCGCAAAUCCUGCGAUCCCCAGAAUGACGUCUGCUGCUGGCGCAUCCUCUGAAGAAACAAACGGCUCCGUGGGCCAGAUAAAAACCCAAGGCGCUGAUGUGGACAAAGAAAAUCAGGCUCCAACUUCAGUUUCAGCUGUGAUGAGGAAGUCACUAAAUGCAUCCAGGAAGAUUGGUGAAUUAUCUUACGGAAGUGCCCUCUGUCCGGAAGAUGAUUUGAGCAUGGAUAUGACUGAAGCUCAGACAGGCCGCAUUAUAGGACUCACUGAUGAUCACUUUCAGUUUCUCUUUCCCACACAAGACAUGUACUCUCACCGUGACAACAGAGUGCCGCAGACAGCAGAGAAGACCAAACCGCAGAUCAGUAAAACAUCGACAUCAUUCAACCCUAAAGAUGUGACAUCUUGGACGAAUCCUUCUCGGCAUGCUUCUCAUCAAAGCCUCAAGGUCAACCUUGAUGCACAAGAUGAAGGCAGAGAGAAAACAAUAAUGUCCACUGCAGGUGAUGAGUUUAUGGAUAUGACUCGGAGUCACACCGUUCGCAUUGCCAGUGGUUCAUUAGCUCUUCCGAACCAAAACGUGGACAUUUUUCACCCUCGUGGGAAAAUGGACGACGCUUCAUCUCUGCAGGAGCGAAACCCGCCUGGCUCGUCAGCUAAUUGUUUGGAUCUAGGAUUAAAAAACUUCCUUUCAAGUCUCUAUAAAGCAGGCACCCCCAGUGGUAAUCCUUCUACUGCAGCAUCCUCUGAGGAAACUGUCAACACAAACCGCUCCCUGUCGCAGCUUGAAAGUAAUGUUGGUAAAGAAAAUCGGUCAACAAGGAGCUUUGGAGAAUCUUUUAAUGGAGGCACAAUCUGUCCUGAAAAUGAUGUGAGCAUGGAUAUGACUGAAGCUCAGACGGGCCGCAUUGUAGGACUCACUGGCUCAGAUGAUCCUUUCCAGUUUCUCUUUCCCACACAAGACAAGUACCCCCACGGUGAAAGUCUGAGGACACAAGAGAUCACUUCAGGACCGAAGAGCAGCGAAGUGCUGGGAUCAUCUCACCGUCUGGAACCCUCAUUGAAGCCACUUUUGAAGACAAAUGUACAAAGAAAUCCGGUCAAAUUUGACACCGAAGACGACUACAGAGAGAAAACAGUGAGGUUUUCUGCAGAUGACGCCUGUAUGGAUGUAACACGAAGUCACACUGUAAAUAUUUCAGCUGAUUUACAACGGCAAUCGCUCCAAAAUGUGGCCUUUUUACCUGCAUGUGGAGAGAAGACCGUGAGGUUCACUGCAAACGAUGCAGCGAUGGAUAUGACCCAGAGCCUCACUGUGAACAUUUCCAGUAAUUUAGCAUCGGAUUCAGUUCCUGUGAAGAAACAAGAAGGUGUGAGAUGUGGUCCGCCUACAAACAGAUCCUUCAUCAGCACGCAGUUUGGAUCCAAGGUUUAA
This 2526-nucleotide long non-coding RNA is filed under the name Cottoperca gobio. Its description in RNAcentral is "lncRNA (ENSCGOG00000011210.1)". The record is from RNAcentral. Lineage: Eukaryota; Metazoa; Chordata; Actinopteri; Perciformes; Bovichtidae.